This is a long non-coding RNA of Plodia interpunctella (Indianmeal moth), 340 nucleotides long. RefSeq lists it as uncharacterized. NCBI's taxonomy places the organism in Eukaryota, Metazoa, Arthropoda, Insecta, Lepidoptera, Pyralidae. The transcript is spliced from 3 exons. The record is from RefSeq and is a predicted model, not a curated record.
UGAAAAGUGCGCAUGUGUUGGUGCGAUUGAUGUUUCCUUGAGGUGUGCUAAAUUUAGGUUGGAGGUGGGCGCGGCGCGUCCUUGAGAGGUCACGGCUGGGCUGUAUUUUAUGACCUAGGAUUUGCCUCCUUACUUAUUGGAUGUGGCUGGCUUCGCUCACCGUCCAUCCACUUUCCAAUUCUCAACGACUCGCAACAGCCUGAAACUUCAUACUUACCUUUCAAGAGGAACUAUACUGAGAGAAACUACUUCUUACAUUCGUGGCGCGAAAGCAACUACAACGAGAAACUUCAACAGACUAGAAUCAAAAAACAUUGUGAGGUUAGCUUUAUUCUUAAAU